CGGCCGAUCGUGGAGGACCCGAGUGACCGUGAGACCCGUGAACCUAGCCGAACUGUGACCCGAAACACCCAGAAACCCGAUCGGCGACCUGAGCCGAAAUCCGGCGACAUUUCCGGUGGGUUCGACGGAAGGGCGAUUUUCGGUAAAAGCUCAAUCUCGACGCUAAUGGAAGUUCAGAUGAUAACCGUAAGACGAAGUCUUUUUCUUGAAAGGGCGUAGACCUCGCUGAGAGCGAUAGUUCGUGAUGAACCAGCCAAACCCUAAUAUUGUAUAGUAUGAUUUGUUCCUUUUGGAGUUCAUGAUUUUGUAUAGAUUUAUAAAUAGAAAGUUUUAAGAGGGUAGA
Long non-coding RNA from Alnus glutinosa, 343 nucleotides. RefSeq lists it as uncharacterized. The transcript has 3 exons. The record is from RefSeq and is a predicted model, not a curated record. Lineage: Eukaryota; Viridiplantae; Streptophyta; Magnoliopsida; Fagales; Betulaceae.